Molecule: ribosomal RNA, 339 nt
Filed under: uncultured Pseudomonas sp.
Lineage: Bacteria; Pseudomonadati; Pseudomonadota; Gammaproteobacteria; Pseudomonadales; Pseudomonadaceae
Description: bacterial SSU rRNA
Rfam family: Bacterial small subunit ribosomal RNA
Source: RNAcentral
GCAUGGCUGUCGUCAGGCUCGUGUCGUGAGAUGUUGGGUUAAGUCCGUACGAGCGCAACCCUUGUCCUUAGUUACCAGCACGUUAUGGUGGGCACUCUAAGGAGACUGCCGGUGACAACCGGACGGAAGGUGGGGAUGACGUCAAGUCAUCAUGGCCCUUACGGCCUGGGCUACACACGUGCUACAAUGGUCGGUACAAAGGGUUGCCAAGCCGCGAGGUGGAGCUAAUCCCAUAAAACCGAUCGUAGUCCGGAUCGCAGUCUGCAACUCGACUGCGUGAAGUCGGAAUCGCUAGUAAUCGUGAAUCAGAAUGUCACGGUGAAUACGUUCCCGGGCCUU